AGCAGCCGCGGUAAUUCCAGCUCCAAUAGCGUAUAUUAAAGUUGUUGCAGUUAAAAAGCUCGUAGUUGAAUUUCGGGAUCAAAUUGUCGGUCGUGCCUCGGUACGUACUGGUAUUAUUGGUUCCUCCCUUCUGACGAACCACGAUGUCAUUAAUUUGGUGUCAUGGGAAAUCAGGACUGUUACUUUGAAAAAAUUAGAGUGUUUAAAGCAGGCUCGCGCUUGAAUACAUUAGCAUGGAAUAAUGAAAUAGGACGUUUGAUUCUAUUUUGUUGGUUUCUAGGAUCGACGUAAUGAUUAAUAGGGAUAGUUGGGGGCAUUAGUAUUCAAUUGUCAGAGGUGAAAUUCUUGGAUUUAUUGAAGACUAACUACUGCGAAAGCAUUUGCCAAGGAUGUUUUCAUUAAUCAAGAACGAAAGUUAGGGGAUCGAAGACGAUCAGAUACCGUCGUAGUCUUAACCAUAAACUAUGCCGACUAGGGAUCGGAUGAUGUUAAUUUUUAAUGACUCAUUCGGCGCCUUACG
RNAcentral lists this ribosomal RNA (520 nucleotides) under uncultured Glomus. RNAcentral describes it as "SSU rRNA". It matches the Rfam family "Eukaryotic small subunit ribosomal RNA", at positions 569 to 1092 of the family's 1831-position model. Lineage: Eukaryota; Fungi; Glomeromycota; Glomeromycetes; Glomerales; Glomeraceae. The record is from RNAcentral.